CCUGGCUCAGAUUGAACGCUGGCGGCAGGCCUAACACAUGCAAGUCGAGCGGUAGAGAGGUGCCUUGCAUCUCUUGAGAGCGGCGGACGGGUGAGUAAUGCCUAGGAAUCUGCCUAGUGGUGGGGGAUAACGUUCGGAACGGACGCUAAUACCGCAUACGUCCUACGGGAGAAAGCGGGGGAUCUUCGGACCUCGCGCCAUUAGAUGAGCCUAGGUCGGAUUAGCUAGUUGGUGAGGUAAUGGCUCACCAAGGCGACGAUCCGUAACUGGUCUGAGAGGAUGAUCAGUCACACUGGAACUGAGACACGGUCCAGACUCCUACGGGAGGCAGCAGUGGGGAAUAUUGGACAAUGGGCGAAAGCCUGAUCCAGCCAUGCCGCGUGUGUGAAGAAGGUCUUCGGAUUGUAAAGCACUUUAAGUUGGGAGGAAGGGUAGUAACCUAAUACGUUGCUACUUUGACGUUACCGACAGAAUAAGCACCGGCUAACUUCGUG
RNAcentral lists this ribosomal RNA (494 nucleotides) under uncultured bacterium. RNAcentral describes it as "bacterial SSU rRNA". It matches the Rfam family "Bacterial small subunit ribosomal RNA", at positions 18 to 507 of the family's 1533-position model. The record is from RNAcentral.